CUCCCUUUUGAACUUACUAAGAAUGCCUUUGUUCACUUUCAUGUCCGAAGAUGGAGAUCUCGUUAAUGAAUGCUAGAAAUAAGCCCUAUAUUAUGCAAAAAUCCCCUCACGCCAACGCUGUACACCCAUGCAUAUGUUUAGCUCUUGGUGUUGGUGGUUUCUAAGCUCCCUUGGCCUUAGUUAGCCUCUCUGUCUUGUACUUGACCUAUGCUAUGCCCUCCAUGUCCACCUUCGUUAGCCUCUCUGUCUUGUACUUGACCUAUGCCCUCCAUGUCAACCAGUCUCUUCAUUCAGUAGAUUAUAUCGUGUAACCCGUAUUUCCAUUUCAAUAGGAAUCCAGUGCCUUCGGGCCGAGCAAAGAGAAAGAACCACUUUCACCCAUUUUGACAUAGGAUUCGCCCUCCACUUCUGUGCCAAAAAGUUGUAUAACUACAAUGGCUCCUCCCGUGAUAGGAUCAUUCUGGAAGAGGGGUAACCACCGUUGGGCUAUGUUCUCAAAUUCGAGCAGGUAAGAAUGCAGCUUCGGAAUCCUUAAAUUGAGCAAGCGGCUGGCUAACACUGUGUUGAAGUAACCUAAGAUGAUCUGAUCCAAGGGGUGUCCAAGAGUUUUCAAGAAAGAAGUCAUAUCCGCCAAAACUAAGUCCAUUCCUGUAAUUAUAGCUAUUCGAAGCAUAAAUGAAAGAGAGCAAGCCACACCAACCCAAUCUAGUACUUGACUUUCUCUUUCUAAUUAUAAAGGGACCUACAAACAAAACCUAAACAUAAGAUUAGAUUCACUUAGCGAACCAUGAACCCGUACCCGUUGCUUUUCUGGGAAAAGAAUUAGACGGCCAACGAAAACUGUAAUUACGCAAAAAAAAGAGAUUCAGGCUUUGGUUUCCAGAUGGGGAUUAGCUUCCUAUUCGUGUUUGUUCUCCUCAUCCAUUAUUGGUUUACUUGCUUCCGUUCUUUCAAAGGACCUUUAAGACGUAAGUAUCCUUAACGAAAACGACGUAAUGAUACUAAGAGAAAACACCAAGGAGGGAAACUUUCUAACCCCAGAGGGUCCUGUGAAGUCUUUCUAUGAGUUCAACGGCACGACCGCUCUACCACUGAGCUACUGAGACUUCCUCUUAUCAAAAAAGAAUCGAAUGUAGAGAAUCCAGAAUGGAAUAUAGAUUGUAUGCGAGUAUCUUUAGCUGACUGCUUAGUUCGGUUUCUCUUAGACUGUGCGAGCUUCAAGAGCUUCUUGUUUAUAAUUGGAAAAGGUAUAGAAUAAGGGCGGGCACUAUUGGGACUUGUUUAUCCAAGGUGGUACCACUUCAAAGCCAAUCUUGUCAAGUCUUUCUUUCACACUGGGAUUAUUACUUUACUUGUCAAGUCUUUCUUUCACACUAGGAUUAUUACUUAAGGAAGUCUCACUGCUUUCAAUUCCACAUUCCUUUGUCAUUUUAGAGGAAGAGAACUACCCGUUAGUUGUUAUUAUGAGAUCAUGAUCAGACCUAGUCGACAUCUAACUAAUAUAUGAGAAAGAUUCUCAAUGAAUGACCAUACAUUCUGAACAUAACUAAGAAAGGGUGUAUAGGUAAUCAUCGACACAGGAAUGAAGAGAGGAUUCUCACUUGAGUAUUUUUGGACAUAGAAAAGACUCAUUGGCAAAGCACUCGAACAAAGCACUUUAUCCGCAAGGAGCUUUGAUUUUGACUCCACCGGGUUGAUAGAACGUUCAGAGGAAAGAGCUCACCGAAAGGUAGUCCCCUGAGUAUGAGCUUUUAUGAAAUAAGGCAAAUAAAUAAGGUAUUGUAUAAGGUUCGUUCAAACUAAAGGUAAAUCGACGACUUGGCUUUCCACUAUUUCCUGACCUACUGUGCACAUGAAUCAAAUAAUAUUAUAGAAGUUGUAUUCUCCAUAGAAGUUGUAUUAGAUAAGUCGUACUAUAAGUUGUAUUAGAUAAGUCGUACGCUUUCCUAGUUAAAGUAGCAAUUCCAGUCUCUGCUUCUUAGGACGAAAGCAAUCCCCGGUCAAUGAAUCCUUCGAAAAGGCUUGGUAUCAUUGCAUUAGCGCUUCCGUCUGCCAUUCUAGGUAAGCAAGUCGGAUGUCUCCUGGCCAGCCUCCCCUCCGUAGAUAAGCCACCCUCCUGCUGGCAUAAAAUAGAGGCGGAAGUUUCGAGCUAGGCUCCCUUUACGUACUAUUCAGUUGAUUUGGAUGCUCCAACAUCUGCCUUCUUGUGUUUUCAUUUUCUUGAGAAAAGAAGAAACUAGAAUCCUAGCCCCAACAUUUCUUAUUUAGCCCCGUUGAAGCGGAUUAGGGCAUUGAUGGAUCGUCUCACUUGCCUGCGAACAUGGAGAUCUUUGUCAAGCUCGACUCUUAAGCAUCAAGAUCGCGGAUCACUGCCAACGGAUCAUCAUAUAGCAUGAUUCAAACUAAAACCGCUUCACUAGUCUGCUGUAAAAACGAAUAUCCAUGCGUGACCUGAACGAGCUAUUGAAGGUCUGUUCCUAGCCCACUUCUCGGAGAGCUUAUACUGGAGUUUAUCACGUCGAAGGAGUUGCAGAUUACCUCUGGGCAUCCAAUGGUUAUAACAUAUGAAAAGAAAGAGAAAUACAUUUUUUGACUAGCCGCAGCUUGUCCCGUUGCUUGGCC
This 2622-nucleotide long non-coding RNA is filed under the name Musa acuminata (dwarf banana). RNAcentral's name for it is "long non-coding RNA (MACU_LNC008119)". The record is from RNAcentral. Lineage: Eukaryota; Viridiplantae; Streptophyta; Magnoliopsida; Zingiberales; Musaceae.